GACGAACGCUGGCGGCGUGCUUAACACAUGCAAGUCGAACGAAAAGACGGAAAGAGCUUGCUCUUUUCAGAAUUGAGUGGCAAACGGGUGAGUAACACGUAAACAACCUGCCUUCAGGAUGGGGACAACAGACGGAAACGACUGCUAAUACCGAAUAAGUUCCAAGAGCCGCAUGGCCCAUGGAAGAAAAGGUGGCCUCUACCUGUAAGCUAUCGCCUGAAGAGGGGUUUGCGUCUGAUUAGCUGGUUGGAGGGGUAACGGCCCACCAAGGCGACGAUCAGUAGCCGGUCUGAGAGGAUGAACGGCCACACUGGAACUGAGACACGGUCCAGACUCCUACGGGAGGCAGCAGUGGGGAAUCUUCCGCAAUGGGCGAAAGCCUGACGGAGCAACGCCGCGUGAGUGAUGACGGCCUUCGGGUUGUAAAACUCUGUGAUCCGGGACGAAAAGGCAGAGUGCGAAGAACAAACUGCAUUGACGUACCGGAAAGCAGCCC
This 496-nucleotide ribosomal RNA is filed under the name Dialister invisus. RNAcentral's name for it is "bacterial SSU rRNA". It matches the Rfam family "Bacterial small subunit ribosomal RNA", at positions 28 to 493 of the family's 1533-position model. Lineage: Bacteria; Bacillati; Bacillota; Negativicutes; Veillonellales; Veillonellaceae. The record is from RNAcentral.